GUAUUUUUAGUAGAGAUGGGGCUUCUCCAUGUUGGUCAGGCUGGUCCUGAACUCCCGACCUCAGGUGAUCUGCUCACCUCGGCCUCCCGAAGUGCUGGGAUUAUAGGCGGGAGCCACCGUGCCUGGCCAAUAUUGCUUAUAGUACAGGACUGUUGGUAAUAAAUUGUUAGGUUUGUUUUCUAAAGAAGUAUUCAUUUUGCCUUCAUUUUUGAAAAGUAUUUUCAUUGAGUAUAGAACUCUGGUUAAAAGUGGGUUUUUUCAAUAUUUUUUAAAUGUCACUUUAUUGUCUUCUGGUUUGCACAGUUUCUAAUGAAAAACCUGGUAUAAUUCUUAUCUUCGUUCCUCUGCAUUUAAUGUGUCUUCUGUUUUUGGUCGUCUUCAAAAUUUUCUCUUUCUCUUUGGUUUUCAGUAGUGUGGUGGGCGGCUAGGUUGCUAGAGGGUGUUUCUUUUCCUUUGAGACAAGCAUCUUGCUCUGUUGUCCAGGCUGGAGUACAGUGGUAUGAUUACAGCUCACUGCAGCCUCGAACUCCUGGGCAGGAGUCAGUACAGAGCAGCAAAUGUUGAGGUUUCACAGGGGCCUCUCUGGAAACCUCGCCCUCAAGGCCCUGGCUUGUCUUAAAGAGCUCUGAAAUGCCUCUGGGAUCAUCCUUCCAUUGCCUUAAUAAAUGGAACCUGGCUUUCCUCUAUUCCUACAAUCUCUUUAGCAAAUUUUUGCUUGGCUAUGGCCUUGGUUUGCUCUCCUAAAGAUGCCUUUUCACUCUUUACCAGGCCAGGCUGUGAAUUUUCUAAAUCUUUCUGCUCUGCUUUCCUUUUAGUGAUAAAUUCAAUCUUUAAAUUAUUUCUCAUCAGGCCUGGUGCGGUGGCUCACGCCUGUAAUCCCAGCACUUUGGGAGGCUGAGGCUGGUGGAUCACCUGAGGUCAGGAGUUGGAGACCAGCCUGGCCAAUGUGGUGAAACCCCAUCUCUACUAAAAAUACAAAAA
RNAcentral lists this long non-coding RNA (981 nucleotides) under Homo sapiens (human). RNAcentral describes it as "HSALNT0166411". Lineage: Eukaryota; Metazoa; Chordata; Mammalia; Primates; Hominidae. The record is from RNAcentral.